Molecule: non-coding RNA, 348 nt
Organism: Arachis ipaensis
Lineage: Eukaryota; Viridiplantae; Streptophyta; Magnoliopsida; Fabales; Fabaceae
Source: RefSeq, a predicted model, not a curated record
CCGUUUGCCUGCAUGCGCCUAGGCGUGCGGGGCACGGUUCGUCCGGGCGUGCUGUGUUUGCGGACCGUGGUGGCGGAUGAGCGUUGCUGGGUUUGCGGACUGUGUUGGCGAAUGAGUGGUGUGUGGGUCUUGAGUGCUGUCUGACUCUUUGCCUCGCGCAACGAACGGGCGCACCGGAUCUUCUCCAUGUGUGGGCUCGAGCUACCGUGCUCGUUUCACUGUUGUGCGGCUCCUGUGUUUCCUACCCCGUGGUGUGGUAUCACUGCCUUGCCCCAACCUUUCCUCUCCGGAGUCCCCUAGUGGGAUUGCCGGGGGAGUUCCAAGACACGCCCGUGGUCCUACCCGUUU